Molecule: ribosomal RNA, 425 nt
Filed under: uncultured bacterium
Lineage: Bacteria
Description: bacterial SSU rRNA
Rfam family: Bacterial small subunit ribosomal RNA
Source: RNAcentral
GGGGAAUAUUGGACAAUGGGCGCAAGCCUGAUCCAGCAAUGCCGCGUGGGUGAAGAAGGCCUUCGGGUUGUAAAGCCCUUUUGUACGGGAAGAAAAGCUUCGGAUUAAUACUUCGAGGUCAUGACGGUACCGUAAGAAUAAGCACCGGCUAACUUCGUGCCAGCAGCCGCGGUAAUACGAAGGGUGCAAGCGUUAAUCGGAAUUACUGGGCGUAAAGCGUGCGUAGGUGGUUAGUUAAGUCUGUCGUGAAAGCCCUGGGCUCAACCUGGGAAUGGCGAUGGAUACUGGCUGACUAGAGUGCGGUAGAGGGUAGCGGAAUUUCCGGUGUAGCGGUGAAAUGCGUAGAGAUCGGAAGGAACAUCCGUGGCGAAGGCGGCUACCUGGACCAGCACUGACACUGAGGCACGAAAGCGUGGGGAGCAAAC